CAGUAGCCGCGGUAAUACGGAGUAUCCAAGCGUUAUCCGGAAUCAUUGGGUUUAAAGGGUCCGUAGGCGGUCUUGUAAGUCAGUGGUGAAAGCCCAUCGCUCAACGGUGGAACGGCCAUUGAUACUGCAGGACUUGAAUUAUUGGGAAGUAACUAGAAUAUGUAGUGUAGCGGUGAAAUGCUUAGAGAUUACAUGGAAUACCAAUUGCGAAGGCAGGUUACUACCAAUUGAUUGACGCUGAUGGACGAAAGCGUGGGUAGCGAACAGGAUUAGAUACCCCCGUAGUCCCUGUCUCUUAUAC
Molecule: ribosomal RNA, 301 nt
Filed under: uncultured bacterium
Lineage: Bacteria
Description: partial 16S ribosomal RNA
Rfam family: Bacterial small subunit ribosomal RNA
Source: RNAcentral